This 253-nucleotide ribosomal RNA is filed under the name uncultured bacterium. Its description in RNAcentral is "partial 16S ribosomal RNA". It matches the Rfam family "Bacterial small subunit ribosomal RNA", at positions 524 to 776 of the family's 1533-position model. The record is from RNAcentral.
UACGAAGGGGGCUAGCGUUUUUCGGAAUUACUGGGCGUAAAGCGCACGUAGGCGGAUUAGUAAGUCAGGGGUGAAAUCCCAGAGCUCAACUUCGGAACUGCCUUUGAUACUGCUGAUCUCGAGUCCGAAAGAGGUGAGUGGAAUUCCUAGUGUAGAGGUGAAAUUCGUAGAUAUUAGGAGGAACACCAGUGGCGAAGGCGGCUCACUGGUUCAGUGCUGACGCUGAGACGCGAAAGCGUGGGGAGCAAACAGG